RNAcentral lists this unclassified non-coding RNA (191 nucleotides) under uncultured Glomeromycotina. RNAcentral's name for it is "sequence contains ITS2". The record is from RNAcentral. Lineage: Eukaryota; Fungi; Glomeromycota.
UUAAAUAAAAAUCGGUGUUGUUGCUGCCUCUCGUGGUGACGCGUCGGAAUUGGGUCGUCUUACCUUCGGUUAAGUGACUUAAAAUUUUGCAUGAUUUUGAACGUAUUUAAAUUGCUUACGUACGUUUGAGAUAUCAAAUGUUUUUAUUAGGUUCGGUCAUCCUCAUGAUUCGCGCCUAUAAUUUUUUCAUU